Molecule: ribosomal RNA, 468 nt
Filed under: uncultured bacterium
Lineage: Bacteria
Description: partial 16S ribosomal RNA
Rfam family: Bacterial small subunit ribosomal RNA
Source: RNAcentral
GACGAACGCUGGCGGCGUGCUUAACACAUGCAAGUCGAACGGAAAGACCCGGCGUUUGUGGGGUGCUCGAGUGGCGAACGGGUGAGUAACACGUGAGUAACCUGCCCUUAACUUUGGGAUAACUUCAGGAAACUGGGGCUAAUACCGGAGAGGAGCUCUUGCUGCGUGGGGGGGGUUGGAAAGAUCCGGCGGUUGGGGAUGGACUCGCGGCUUAUCAGCUGGUUGGUGAGGUAGUGGCUGACCAAGGCUUUGACGGGUAGCCGGCCUGAGAGGGUGACCGGGCACCAGGCUACUGCGAUAGGGACCAGACGCCUACGGGCGGCAGCAGUCGGGAAUAUUGCGCAACAGGGGGAAGCGUGAUGCAGCAGCGCUGCGUGCGGGAUGACGUCUUAUGAGUGGUAAACCGAUUUCGCCUGAGAUGUACCGUUAGUGACGGUACUGGGUCAAAAAGCAACGGCUAACUACGUG